GCCGGGUGUGGUGGCGGGCACCUGUAGUCCCAGCUACUCGGGAGGCUGAGGCAGGAGAAUGGCAUGAACCCAGGAGGUGGAGCUUGCAGUGAGCCGAGAUCGUGCCACUGCACUCCAGCCUGGGUGACAGAGCCAGACUCUGUCUCAA
Molecule: non-coding RNA, 148 nt
Filed under: Pan paniscus (pygmy chimpanzee)
Lineage: Eukaryota; Metazoa; Chordata; Mammalia; Primates; Hominidae
Also listed under: 1 other name
Source: Rfam by way of RNAcentral